This 693-nucleotide ribosomal RNA is filed under the name uncultured bacterium. RNAcentral describes it as "bacterial SSU rRNA". It matches the Rfam family "Bacterial small subunit ribosomal RNA", at positions 62 to 744 of the family's 1533-position model. The record is from RNAcentral.
UCGAGGGGCAGCAUUUUAGUUUGCUUGCAACUGAAGAUGGCGACCGGCGCACGGGUGAGUAACACGUAUCCAACCUGCCGAUAACUCUGGAAUAGCCUUUCGAAAGAAAGAUUAAUACCGGAUGGCAUACGAAUAUCGCAUGAUAUUUUUAUUAAAGAAUUUCGGUUAUCGAUGGGGAUGCGUUCCAUUAGUUUGUUGGCGGGGUAACGGCCCACCAAGACAACGAUGGAUAGGGGUUCUGAGAGGAAGGUCCCCCACAUUGGAACUGAGACACGGUCCAAACUCCUACGGGAGGCAGCAGUGAGGAAUAUUGGUCAAUGGGCGAGAGCCUGAACCAGCCAAGUAGCGUGAAGGAUGAAGGCUCUAUGGGUCGUAAACUUCUUUUAUAUGGGAAUAAAGUUUUCCACGUGUGGAAUUUUGUAUGUACCAUAUGAAUAAGGAUCGGCUAACUCCGUGCCAGCAGCCGCGGUAAUACGGAGGAUCCGAGCGUUAUCCGGAUUUAUUGGGUUUAAAGGGAGCGUAGGUGGAUUGUUAAGUCAGUUGUGAAAGUUUGCGGCUCAACCGUAAAAUUGCAGUUGAAACUGGCAGUCUUGAGUACAGUAGAGGUGGGCGGAAUUCGUGGUGUAGCGGUGAAAUGCUUAGAUAUCACGAAGAACUCCGAUUGCGAAGGCAGCUCACUAGACUGUUACUGAC